RNAcentral lists this ribosomal RNA (492 nucleotides) under uncultured bacterium. Its description in RNAcentral is "partial 16S ribosomal RNA". It matches the Rfam family "Bacterial small subunit ribosomal RNA", at positions 29 to 507 of the family's 1533-position model. The record is from RNAcentral.
AGUGAACGCUGGCGGUAGGCCUAACACAUGCAAGUCGAACGGCAGCACAGUAAGAGCUUGCUCCUACGGUUGGCGAGUGGCGGACGGGUGAGGAAUACAUCGGAAUCUACUUUUUCGUGGGGGAUAACGUAGGGAAACUUACGCUAAUACCGCAUACGACCUACGGGUGAAAGCAGGGGAUCUUCGCACCUUGCGUGACUGCAUGAGCCGAUGUCGGAUUUGCUAGUUGGCGGCGUAAAGUCCCAGCAAGGCGACGCUCCGUAGCUGGUCUGAGAGGAUGAUCAGGCACACUGGAACUGAGACACGGUCCAGACUCCUACGGGAGGCAGCAGUGGGGAAUAUUGCACAAAGGGCGCAAGCCUGACCCAGCAAUACCGCGUGGGUGAAGAAGGCCUUCGGGUUGUAAAGCCCUUUUAUUGGGAAAGAAAAGCAGCAGGUUAAUACCCCGCUGUUCUGACGGUACCCAAAGAAUAAGCACCGGCUAACUUCGUG